CCUACGGGGGGCUGCAGUGGGGAAUAUUGGACAAUGGGGGCAACCCUGAUCCAGCCAUGCCGCGUGUGUGAAGAAGGCCCUCGGGUUGUAAAGCACUUUCAGUGAGGAAGAACGCCUGGUGGUUAAUACCCAUCAGGAAAGACAUCACUCACAGAAGAAGCACCGGCUAACUCCGUGCCAGCAGCCGCGGUAAUACGGAGGGUGCGAGCGUUAAUCGGAAUUACUGGGCGUAAAGCGCGCGUAGGUGGCUUGAUAAGCCGGUUGUGAAAGCCCCGGGCUCAACCUGGGAACGGCAUCCGGAACUGUCAAGCUAGAGUGCAGGAGAGGAAGGUAGAAUUCCCGGUGUAGCGGUGAAAUGGGUAGAGAUCGGGAGGAAUACCAGUGGCGAAGGCGGCCUUCUGGACUGACACUGACACUGAGGUGCGAAAGCGUGGGUAGCAAACAGGAUUAGAUACCCUUGUAGUC
RNAcentral lists this ribosomal RNA (465 nucleotides) under Vreelandella stevensii. RNAcentral's name for it is "partial 16S ribosomal RNA". It matches the Rfam family "Bacterial small subunit ribosomal RNA", at positions 338 to 795 of the family's 1533-position model. Lineage: Bacteria; Pseudomonadati; Pseudomonadota; Gammaproteobacteria; Oceanospirillales; Halomonadaceae. The record is from RNAcentral.